UACAGAGGGUGCGAGCGUUAAUCGGAAUUACUGGGCGUAAAGCGCACGUAGUCGGCUUUGCAAGUCGGAUGUGAAAUCCCCGGGCUCAACCUGGGAAUUGCAUUCGAUACUGGAUAGCUAGAGUUCGGCAGAGGGAAGCGGAAUUUCUGGUGUAGCGGUGAAAUGCGUAGAUAUCAGAAGGAACAUCAGUGGCGAAAGCGGCUUCCUGGACCAGAACUGACGAUCAGGCUCGAAAGCGUGGGGAGCAAACAGG
RNAcentral lists this ribosomal RNA (253 nucleotides) under uncultured bacterium. RNAcentral's name for it is "partial 16S ribosomal RNA". It matches the Rfam family "Bacterial small subunit ribosomal RNA", at positions 524 to 776 of the family's 1533-position model. The record is from RNAcentral.